UAGGGAAUCUUCGGCAAUGGACGAAAGUCUGACCGAGCAACGCCGCGUGAGUGAAGAAGGUUUUCGGNUCGUAAAACUCUGUUGGUAGAGAAGAACGUUGGUGAGAGUGGAAAGCUCAUCAAGUGACGGUAACUACCCAGAAAGGGACGGCUAACUACGUGCCAC
This 165-nucleotide ribosomal RNA is filed under the name uncultured bacterium. RNAcentral describes it as "partial 16S rRNA". It matches the Rfam family "Bacterial small subunit ribosomal RNA", at positions 355 to 511 of the family's 1533-position model. The record is from RNAcentral.